GCACCACCAUCUGGAUCGGGAGGCGGUCGUUCUGCGCCGCGUGGCUCGACGCGUCCUGCGACAGCUUCUGGCAGUCGAUCAGCUUGCACAGCUUCUUGCACUCCGAUUCCGUCAGAGACGGGUGUGCCUAAACAGAGGAUAUGGUCAGGUAUAAAAAAAUUGACCAAGCAAGUUUUAAUCAUUCAGAGAGCAAUGUUCUAGUGAUCAGCUAAAUUUAUUCUUUUUGAUCGUAUAAAAAUAGCACUUUUCAUCAUUGACGAUAACGGCAGUAGUUUUUUUUAUGCAAUUUGCCUUUAAACUUAAAGAUUGAUCCAGCAAUGUUAAUUGGACAGAGAUCAAAGUCCCGUGAUUACCUAGAGUUCAUUCUAUUUUGUUGCAGAUACAUUUUCAUCAAGAGUGAAUAAUGCUGUCUAUAUAUGGUAGUAUUUACUUAGAUGGGGAAACCUGUCUACUCACAAUAUGGAAAAUCAAAUAUGCAUUAUUUUUUUUCUCGAAAAGUUAGCAGGAGCGCUGCCAUAUCAAAUAUGCAUUCAAACCUCUGCAUUUCCUGAAACAACUACAAAAAUGUGACAUUUCUAAUCUAAUGCCCUUUAUUACCUUCAGGUAUAUGUCGAUGGCACGAUAUAGUCCAUCAUCAACAAUGCGUGCGUAAUCCGGCAAUAGUUCAAUAAGAGCCAUGAACUUCUGCAGCUUCAGAUAUGGAUCUGGAGCUAUCUCUGCUAGAUAGCCAUCCAUUAGUCUUCCAACCUUCAAGACUGAACUGUGACUUGGAGACUUCAGUCCAUCUGAAUCAUAUCCACAAGGUGACAACUCUCCUGAAUCAUCUUCGUCGAUCCUUUGCAAGAAGUUCACCAAUAUGCGAUGCACAGUGUCAACGUCAAACAUUGAGUCGCUUGUUUGCGUCGAGGGGAUCAGGAGAUCGUCUAGUGAUGCCAUCUCAAGCUGGAGACCAAUCCUUUUCUCGACUUCGAUUCUACAAUCUAGACUUGCAUCAACUUCAAUUGCCAUCCUCAGCAUGCCAAACAAGAAUGACAAGGUAACCGUCGUAAUAUUUUCAGCUGCCAACAGAUCGAUGAGUGUUUCGACUAUCAUUCUUUGAUCAUCUCCGACAAAGGGACCUGAGUCCCAUACAUGGCGUCUUUCAACACCCUUUAGCAAUGUCUGGGCAUAGUGUGUAAUAGAGGUGCCAAUACUCUCUGGCCUCACCCCAUUUCUCCUCAUUGCAGCAAUCACACGCCGAUAGUGGUCGAUUCUCAGUGCAGAAAGGUCUUCAACCCACCAAUCCUGGGAGUGCAUACGCAACUUUCCAGAUCCCACAUUACAUUCCAAGUGCGCCAAGCCUGAAACCAGCUGCUCCUUGCUUGCAUUCAUCGCA
Molecule: long non-coding RNA, 1375 nt
Filed under: Setaria italica (foxtail millet)
Lineage: Eukaryota; Viridiplantae; Streptophyta; Magnoliopsida; Poales; Poaceae
Description: long non-coding RNA (SITA_LNC005535)
Source: RNAcentral